This 1633-nucleotide long non-coding RNA is filed under the name Triticum aestivum (bread wheat). Its description in RNAcentral is "long non-coding RNA (TAES_LNC026663)". The record is from RNAcentral. Lineage: Eukaryota; Viridiplantae; Streptophyta; Magnoliopsida; Poales; Poaceae.
AGCCAUAGCCGGUGGUGCUUCCUUCCUUUUUUCCAUCCUGCACAACCACCAUGAGCGGUGCUACUAAAGGCAUCGGAUGCUGCCCAUUUUUCUCUCGCGGAGCUACUCCAAGGGGGUGGUCCUUGCACACACGCCGCCGCGACAGCCCAAACACCGUUACUGCAUGCGGCGACGAGCGUGCUGCAACUAGCGCUCGUUGCCAUGGCUGCCCGCAGCUGGUCGCGCUCCUGUCCAUGACCAUCGCAACAAGAUUUUUGCUACCACCAUGUUGUUUUUUGCUGGAACCGACCCAUGUUUUUGCUACCACCCACUCACCUCAAAUCUGCUACCAUGGUGAUUUUUUGCUGGAACCAGCGAACCAUUUUGCUACAACCGUUUUGGGUUUCGUUACUACUGGUGUUUUGUGAAUUUUUGCUACAUCCAUCUCUAUGACAUAGUCUGUUUUUUCUAGUCAAUUUUGCUACAACCAUGCUUUGAUUUUGCUGGAAACAAAGACAAUUUUUGCUACAAUCAUAUUUUGCUUUUGCUGGAACCGAAGAUAAUUUUUGUUACAUCCACCAAACGGCGAUGGCUUUCAUUUUGCUGCAACCGUCUUGGAUUUUUGCUACCAUAGGAGUUGCCACUUUGCUACUACCAGAGUCUUGCUCGAAGCAUCAAGAGUUUUUGCUACCACUCCCUUUUAUUUUUGUUUUGAUUUUGCUGGAACCAGCCUAAAAAUUGCUCCAACCGUCGUUUGAUUUUGCUGGAACUGGCAUUUUUUGCUUCGCCGGUGGCGGUGAAGGCGGGUGGCGUUUUGCUUCGCCAGCGGCGGCUAGGCUGCGAGCGCCGGCGGCGAGCAGAAGCAACGAGGGUCCAAAGGAGAGCAGGGGGGCUAGCGUGCGGGAUCCCGCGAGCUGCGGCGGCGCUCGCUUUUUUCCCCUUUUUUCCCUGUGCGGAGGAUGACGAAAGGGGAUGCGGGACAGAUCAGAUGGUCCCGCGCGUCCAGAUCGAGCGGCUCGGGUUGGACCGGCCGAAACUCGCGCCGGUGCGCCGGCGCAGAGUACUGCCCUUUUAUUUUCUUUUUUUUGUAUGCUUCGGUGAAGCUGUUGGCACGUCGGGAGCAUUAUCUAUUAUAAUAUAUGGAAUUGGUACCUUGGCAGGAUUUCAGUAAAUACCUUCACACAUCUCUCUCUUCAGUUCGUCGUCGCACAUCUUGGAUGAAAUGGAGUUACCCGCGUGAGAUGGUAACAAUCAAUUACGCAUGAUCUCGCUCCCGGUUGCCGGUUCAACAAGAAUUGAUGGAAGUCGCAAAGGCAAAGCCAUCCGUGAGUGGAGAGCAACAAUGGCGAUGGCGACGCUCCCACUUUCCUAUCACCUCCACCUUUUCCUCUUCCUCUCUAGCAUCGUCGUUCAGUUGAUACUUCAAAAAUUAUUGUCGAUACUUGUAGAAUUACAAUCAUUAUGACAGCAGCAAAUACAGCAGUUCACCAAUUUAAGAAGAUUCAGUAAAAUAUUCAGUUUGAUUCAGUUAACUUCUCACUGAUAUUAACUGAAGAUAACUGAAGAUUUUGGGAGUACUGGAGUACUGGAAAUUUCAGAUGGGAUCACGUUUAAUCUUUAGUCAGAUUUAAUCUGGACGCCAUCAUGAUUCAUG